AUUGAACGCUGGCGGCAGGCUUAACACAUGCAAGUCGAGCGAGCGGCGGACGGGUGAGUAAUGUCUGGGAAACUGCCUGAUGGCGGGGGAUAACUACUGGAAACGGUAGCUAAUACCGCAUACCAUCAGAUGUGCCCAGAUGGGAUGAGCUAGUAGGGGGGGUAAUGGCUCACCUAGGCGACGAUCCCUAGCUGGUUUGAGAGGAUGACCAGCCACACUGGAACGGAGCCACGGUCCAGACUCCGACGGGAGGCAGCAGUGGGGAAUAUUGCACAAUGGGCGCAAGCCUGCGGCAGCCAUGCCGCGGGUGUGAAGAGGGCCUUCGGGUUGGAAAGCACUUUCAGCGAGGAGGCGUUACUCGCAGAAGAAGCACCGGCUAACUCCGUGCCAGCAGCCGCGGUAAUAC
RNAcentral lists this ribosomal RNA (406 nucleotides) under uncultured bacterium. Its description in RNAcentral is "partial 16S ribosomal RNA". It matches the Rfam family "Bacterial small subunit ribosomal RNA", at positions 29 to 526 of the family's 1533-position model. The record is from RNAcentral.